UGAGGAACAUGACCUUCGGCGGGGGAUAGCCGGCCCAACGGCCGGGUAAUACCGCGUACGACCUUUUGGGGACAUCCCCGAUUGGUGAAAGCAGCAAUGCGCCGAAAGAGUGCCUCGCGGCCUAUCAGCUAGUUGGUGGGGUAAUGGCUCACCAAGGCGACGACGGGUAGCUGGUCUGAGAGGAUGGCCAGCCACAUUGGGACUGAGACACGGCCCAGACUCCUACGGGAGGCAGCAGG
Molecule: ribosomal RNA, 239 nt
Filed under: uncultured bacterium
Lineage: Bacteria
Description: partial 16S ribosomal RNA
Rfam family: Bacterial small subunit ribosomal RNA
Source: RNAcentral